UUUCUUUGGAAAGAUAUAAAAGUGUCGGGGAACCGAUAAUAUUUUGAUAUUUAAUAUCAAGUAAUUUAUUUUUCCACUAAGUUUUUCGAGGAUAAGCUCGAAAAAAAGUUAAGAUAUCUAUAGCUCUAACUUGUUAUGUGGGCUUAAGAUUGGCCAUCACGAGAGUUUGUUAUAAAACAGCCAUAAAAGAGCACAAAAUUUAUUUAGUUUUAUCUAACUUCCUACAAAGAUAAAGGCUUUAAUCUUUAAAAGCCUUAUACCUAUGCUAGAAUGAGUAUUAUAACCAGCCUAAAAAGAAAAAGUUAUUUAUCGUUUUUUUUAUUAAAAACAGAUUUUUCAAGACUAAAUAGCCAGAAGGAACUCGGCAAGUUAAGUUGCUUCGCCUGUUUAUCAAAAACAUGGCUCUUUGAAUAAUUAAAUAUAGAGAGUCGAGCCUGCCCAGUGAAUUUUUAACGGCCGCGGUACUCUGACCGUGCAAAGGUAGCAUAAUCAUUUGCCUUAUAAUUGAAGGCUAGUAUGAAUGGUUUGACGAGAGCAACACUGUCUCCUGACUACUUUUUAGAACUUAACCUUUAGGUGAAGAGGCCUAAAUUUUAUUGAAGGACAAGAAGACCCCGUCGAGCUUAAAAGACACUAUAGAAGUUAAUAUAACUAUAAAUAAAUAUUCUAUUAAGCUUUUUAGUUGGGGCGACUAAGGAACAAAAGAAGCUUCUUAUUAAUAACAUACGGUCAUGUAAAGAUCCGACAUAGUCGAUCAAAGAAAUUAGUUACCGCGGGGAUAACAGCAUAAUCUCUCUUAAGAGACCUAAUCGAAAGAGGGGGUUGUGACCUCGAUGUUGGACUAGAAUAUCCUAAAGAUGCAGAAG
RNAcentral lists this ribosomal RNA (866 nucleotides) under Clionella costata. Its description in RNAcentral is "partial large subunit ribosomal RNA". It matches the Rfam family "Archaeal large subunit ribosomal RNA", at positions 1483 to 2630 of the family's 2987-position model. The record is from RNAcentral. Lineage: Eukaryota; Metazoa; Mollusca; Gastropoda; Neogastropoda; Clavatulidae.